This 333-nucleotide ribosomal RNA is filed under the name uncultured Bacillota bacterium. Its description in RNAcentral is "bacterial SSU rRNA". It matches the Rfam family "Bacterial small subunit ribosomal RNA", at positions 28 to 351 of the family's 1533-position model. The record is from RNAcentral. Lineage: Bacteria; Bacillati; Bacillota.
GAUGAACGCUGGCGGCGUGCUUAACACAUGCAAGUCGAACGAAGCACUUUUAAACUUUCGGGUUUAAAAGUGACUGAGUGGCGGACGGGUGAGUAACGCGUGGGUAACCUGCCUUAUACAGGGGGAUAACAGUUAGAAAUGACUGCUAAUACCGCAUAAGCCGAUAGAGUCGCAUGACUUAGUCGGAAAAGAUUUAUCGGUAUAAGAUGGACCCGCGUCUGAUUAGCUAGUUGGUGAGGUAAUGGCCCACCAAGGCGACGAUCAGUAGCCGGCUUGAGAGAGUGAACGGCCACAUUGGGACUGAGACACGGCCCAAACUCCUACGGGAGGCUG